This 245-nucleotide ribosomal RNA is filed under the name uncultured bacterium. RNAcentral describes it as "partial small subunit ribosomal RNA". It matches the Rfam family "Bacterial small subunit ribosomal RNA", at positions 26 to 285 of the family's 1533-position model. The record is from RNAcentral.
AGAAUCAACGCUGGCGGCGUGCCUAACACAUGCAAGUCGAACGAGAAAGUGGAGCAAUCCAUGAGUAAAGUGGCGACCGGGUGAGUAACACGUGACUAACCUACCUUCGAGUGGGGGAUAACCUCGGGAAACCGAGGCUAAUACCGCAUAACAUCGCAAGAUCAAAGCAGCAAUUCGCUCGAGGAGGGGGUCGCGGCCGAUUAGUUAGUUGGCAGGGUAAUGGCCUACCAAGACGAUGAUCGGUA